RNAcentral lists this ribosomal RNA (497 nucleotides) under uncultured bacterium. RNAcentral's name for it is "partial 16S ribosomal RNA". It matches the Rfam family "Bacterial small subunit ribosomal RNA", at positions 28 to 507 of the family's 1533-position model. The record is from RNAcentral.
GACGAACGCUGGCGGCGUGCCUAAUACAUGCAAGUUGAGCGCUGAAGGUUGGUACUUGUACCAACUGGAUGAGCAGCGAACGGGUGAGUAACGCGUGGGGAAUCUGCCUUUGAGCGGGGGACAACAUUUGGAAACGAAUGCUAAUACCGCAUAAAAACUUUAAACACAAGUUUUAAGUUUGAAAGAUGCAAUUGCAUUACUCAAAGAUGAUCCCGCGUUGUAUUAGCUAGUUGGUGAGGUAAAGGCUCACCAAGGCGAUGAUACAUAGCCGACCUGAGAGGGUGAUCGGCCACAUUGGGACUGAGACACGGCCCAAACUCCUACGGGAGGCAGCAGUAGGGAAUCUUCGGCAAUAGACGAAAGUCUGACCGAGCAACGCCGCGUGAGUGAAGAAGGUUUUCGGAUCGUAAAACUCUGUUGGUAGAGAAGAACGUUGGUGAGAGUGGAAAGCUCAUCAAGUGACGGUAACUACCCAGAAAGGGACGGCUAACUACGUG